RNAcentral lists this ribosomal RNA (635 nucleotides) under uncultured Marinobacter sp. Its description in RNAcentral is "bacterial SSU rRNA". It matches the Rfam family "Bacterial small subunit ribosomal RNA", at positions 870 to 1504 of the family's 1533-position model. Lineage: Bacteria; Pseudomonadati; Pseudomonadota; Gammaproteobacteria; Pseudomonadales; Marinobacteraceae. The record is from RNAcentral.
CGCCUGGGGAGUGCGGCCGCAAGGUUAAAACUCAAAUGAAUUGACGGGGGCCCGCACAAGCGGUGGAGCAUGUGGUUUAAUUCGACGCAACGCGAAGAACCUUACCUGGCCUUGACAUUCAGAGAGCUUUCCAGAGAUGGAUUGGUGCCUUCGGGAACUCUGAGACAGGUGCUGCAUGGCCGUCGUCAGCUCGUGUCGUGAGAUGUUGGGUUAAGUCCCGUAACGAGCGCAACCCCUAUCCCUGGUUGCUAGCAGGUAAUGCUGAGAACUCCAGGGAGACUGCCGGUGACAAACCGGAGGAAGGUGGGGAUGACGUCAGGUCAUCAUGGCCCUUACGGCCAGGGCUACACACGUGCUACAAUGGCGCGUACAGAGGGCUGCCAACUCGCGAGAGUGAGCCAAUCCCUUAGAACGCGUCGUAGUCCGGAUCGGAGUCUGCAACUCGACUCCGUGAAGUCGGAAUCGCUAGUAAUCGCGAAUCAGAAUGUCGCGGUGAAUACGUUCCCGGGCCUUGUACACACCGCCCGUCACACCAUGGGAGUGGAUUGCACCAGAAGUAGUUAGUCUAACCUUCGGGAGGACGAUUACCACGGUGUGGUUCAUGACUGGGGUGAAGUCGUAACAAGGUAACCGUA